This 396-nucleotide ribosomal RNA is filed under the name uncultured prokaryote. RNAcentral describes it as "partial 16S ribosomal RNA". The record is from RNAcentral.
CCUACGGGAGGCGGCGACGAGCAGCAUGGGGAUAUUGGCCCAGCAGAUGGCAGCGUAGCACAUGGGACAGGGCUCUGCGCUGCUGUAGAUGACGCAGUGGGACAGAUCGCCCGGCUGGGUGAGCUUUGACUCAUCCUUUCUGAUGCUUCCCAGGUCAAAGACCCCGAGACUUGCGCAGGCGCUUCGAAUGGCCAUGAUCUCCGCAUGGGCGGUGGGAUCCAGUGCCGAUGUUACCUGGUUAUGAUUGAUCCAGUACCUCAGGAUCUGAUCAGAAGAGUCAUCGAUCUGCAGUAUCAGCGCCGCAAAAGGACCGCCCUUCUCUGCCACCGACUCCCGAGCGGCCAGGCAGGCCAGUUGCAUCCAGCGGUCGCCCUCCACCUCGAUACCCGUGUAGUC